GUGGACCUACGGGAGGCAGCAGUAGGGAAUAUUGCUCAAUGGGCGAAAGCCUGAUGCAGCGACGCCGCGUGGGCGAUGGAGCGCCUCGGCGCGUAAAGCCCUAUCAGCAGGGAAGAAGAUGACGGUACCUGACUAAGAAGCCCCGGCUAAAUACGUGCCAGCAGCCGCGGUAAUACGUAUGGGGCAAGCGUUAUCCGGAUUUACUGGGUGUAAAGGGAGCGCAGGCGGCCUGGCAAGCCUGAUGUGAAAUACCGGGGCCCAACCCCGGGGCUGCAUUGGGAACUGCCAGG
Molecule: ribosomal RNA, 290 nt
Filed under: uncultured bacterium
Lineage: Bacteria
Description: partial 16S ribosomal RNA
Rfam family: Bacterial small subunit ribosomal RNA
Source: RNAcentral